Haemorhous mexicanus (house finch) is the source of this 875-nucleotide long non-coding RNA. RefSeq lists it as uncharacterized. The transcript is spliced from 2 exons. Lineage: Eukaryota; Metazoa; Chordata; Aves; Passeriformes; Fringillidae. The record is from RefSeq and is a predicted model, not a curated record.
CGGUGCUCUCCCCGUGCCCAGCGAUGCCCGCAGCAGCUCCAGGGAGCCCCGGGGCUCGCUCCGUGCCCAGCGAUGCCCGCAGCAGCUCCAGGGAGCCCCGGGGCUCUCCGCGGCCUUUCCCGGAGCCUCCCCGCCCUCAGGUCCGCGGGGCCGUGCGGACCGGGCUCCCUCAGCCCGCUGGGCGAGCCUGGCCUUUGUCAGCCUAGCCAACAGGGUUGGGUUCGGGUUUUUUUUUUCCCUUUCCCUGGCCUAGGAGACAGUGGGAGCAAUUCCGCCGGUUUGUUUGUUUUGUUUUUUUUUUUUUUUUCCCGAGCUGUUCGGUUCGGUUUUGGCCCACCAUCGCAGAGCCGGCGGGAGGAGCAUCGGCCGGGGACGGGAGGGGACGGCCCGGCCCGGCCCGGCCCGGCCUCAGAGCUCGGCACAGCCGAGCCAACCGGAGAAAGGACUCCAAAUCCAGCGGCUUCGUCUGCAGUGACGAGGGGGCCCGUCAGGAAAUCCACAGAAGCCCCAAGCCCCUCUGGAUGAGGCCGUUCCACGCUGGAUGUGCAGCACCUCCCACAACAGGAACAUCACCUGUAAAGGGAUUUACUGGAUGGCAGAGGGGUAAAUCAAACGUGAUUGUGAACUACUCCCCGCUGCUUCCAAAGGAAGAUUCCAGGGGAAUUCCUGAUCCUUAACCACAGCACUGGAUUUUGUUUCAUUCAUAAUCAUUUCCCUGACAGCGUUUAAAACCCCUACCAGUGCAUGGUAAGAGAGGAAGAAUUGUAUAAAUUAAUACAUGUUACACCCCUGGACACCGGUCAGACUUCUCCCACAGCUCCCAAAAUGUGCUUCCAACCGCUGCUUAAGAGAUUAAAGAGUAUCCCAGACUCUUC